This 252-nucleotide RNase P RNA is filed under the name Halobacteriales archaeon SW_5_68_122. RNAcentral describes it as "RNase P RNA component". It matches the Rfam family "Archaeal RNase P". Rfam says of the family: Ribonuclease P (RNase P) is a ubiquitous endoribonuclease, found in archaea, bacteria and eukarya as well as chloroplasts and mitochondria. Its best characterised activity is the generation of mature 5'-ends of tRNAs by cleaving the 5'-leader elements of precursor-tRNAs. Cellular RNase Ps are ribonucleoproteins. The record is from RNAcentral. Lineage: Archaea; Methanobacteriati; Methanobacteriota; Halobacteria; Halobacteriales.
GGCAGAGGGAGCCCGGUUCCCGUGGGUGCGUCCUCGACGGCUCCGCCGUCCCGGCGUGCCACGCCGAGACGUGCCCAUGAGGAAAGUCCCCCCACCCUCCGGGCAGGUGACCGGGCGCAAGCCCGGAGCGGGAGACCGCUGGCGCUGGAACAGAAACGAGACCACCCACCCNNNNNNCAGGUAGCCCGGAGACGCGGCGGGUGCUCAGCCGAAUGCCGGGUCGAAACAGAAGGGGGCUUACUACCCUCAGCC